UUUUAUCUGGUUAACACCAUGGUGGACAUGCCUGCUGUAAGGUGUCCCCUUAGGAACCAGGCAUUUGUGACCACAGCGGAGGACAUGAACCCUGAAAGAAAACGAGUGGUACACUGAAUGCUCUCUUCCGAGAGAUACAUCCUGGAGGAAGGAAAUAAUGAUGUCACCGGCCAAGGGCCUCAACACAGCCAGAACACCUCUCCACUGUCCCUCUCCCCCAGACCAACUCCUGUCCAUCUCUCAUCAGAAAAGAGCAGGCCUCCAAGAGACAACAACGAAACACAGCACAAGAAGAUACAAUAAAUCAAGGCAAGAGCUGUCACGCCAAAGCUGGACAAGGCAACCAAACUAACAGGAGGAGACGAGCCCCAAGAGUAGGCAAAAGAGUCAAAGGCAUGCGUGCUUCCACUAUUAGAAGUCUCACAAGACACCAAGCUAACAGCCAUGACAUCUACACAGGGGGCCUGGCGCUGAUCUGCAUGGGCCCCAUGCAUGCUGCUUCAGUCCCUGGGAGCCCAUGGGAGCCCUCGGUUGAUUCAAUGGGAUGUGUUCACCUGGUGUCCUGUAUCUCCUCUGACCCCUAGAAUUCUUCAGCUAACUUCUCUGCAAGGUUCCCUAAUCUCUGAGGGGAAGGGCCCAACGGAGGCCUCCAAUGUAAAUGCUCUCCAUCAGCUGACCUUUACUUUCCAAUCAUGUUAGUCUUCAGUUUUCUCUUGUUCUUCCACCACGGUAUGUUAUCACCACCGUGCAACCAUGACCUUCACUUUAUUUUCUCAUCCAUAAGUGAUGCAAAUGGAUUAAACGGCAUUAAAAACU
Molecule: non-coding RNA, 816 nt
Organism: Mus caroli (Ryukyu mouse)
Lineage: Eukaryota; Metazoa; Chordata; Mammalia; Rodentia; Muridae
Source: RefSeq, a predicted model, not a curated record